AAAGGGCUUGCAGCUUUCGAGUGAGUGGCAAACGGGGAAAAAACGAGUGGACAACCUGCCUCGAGGCUGGGGAUAACGUUUGGAAACAGAUGCUAAUACCGAAUAAAACUUAGUGUCCCAUGACAAAAAGUUAAAAGGCGCUUCGGCGUCUCCUAUAGAUGGAUCCGCUAAUGCAUUAGUUAGUUGGUGGGGUAAAGGCCGACCAGGACCAUGAUACAUAACCUAAUUGACAGACUGAUCAGGGUGAUUGGGACUUAGACACUGACCCACUCCUACUCUCCGCUGGGGGGGGGAAUCAUCGACUCUGCGGGAAUGCCUGAUGGUCCGACCGAGCGUGGAUGAUGAGAGCUUUCAGGGUCUCGGAUACUGUUCUCUGUUGUUAGUAAUAACAUGGAUGAUAAUAGUUGUUCGACCCCUGAUGGCAUCUCAACAGAAAGCCACGGAUAAGUCCGCGCCAGCAGCCGUACUAAUACCCAGGUGGUUAGCGUUAUUUGUAUUUAUUGGGCGUAAA
This 511-nucleotide ribosomal RNA is filed under the name Leuconostoc mesenteroides. RNAcentral describes it as "bacterial SSU rRNA". It matches the Rfam family "Bacterial small subunit ribosomal RNA", at positions 72 to 564 of the family's 1533-position model. The record is from RNAcentral. Lineage: Bacteria; Bacillati; Bacillota; Bacilli; Lactobacillales; Lactobacillaceae.